RNAcentral lists this ribosomal RNA (349 nucleotides) under uncultured bacterium. Its description in RNAcentral is "bacterial SSU rRNA". It matches the Rfam family "Bacterial small subunit ribosomal RNA", at positions 917 to 1267 of the family's 1533-position model. The record is from RNAcentral.
GGACCCGCACAAGCGGUGGAGCAUGUGGUUUAAUUCGAUGCAACGCGAAGAACCUUACCAGGGUUUGACAUCCUGCGAAUCUCUUGGAAACGAGAGAGUGCCUUCGGGAACGCAGUGACAGGUGGUGCAUGGCUGUCGUCAGCUCGUGUCGUGAGAUGUUGGUUAAGUCCCGCAACGAGCGCAACCCACGUCUUUAGUUGCCAGCAUUUAGUUGGGCACUCUAGAGAGACCGCCGGUGAUAAACCGGAGGAAGGUGUGGAUGACGUCAAGUCAUCAUGCCCCUUACAUCCUGGGCUACACACGGUACUACAAUGCUACGGACAAAGGGCAGCAAGUUCGCGAGGACAAG